This 837-nucleotide ribosomal RNA is filed under the name uncultured Levilinea sp. RNAcentral's name for it is "bacterial SSU rRNA". It matches the Rfam family "Bacterial small subunit ribosomal RNA", at positions 56 to 903 of the family's 1533-position model. The record is from RNAcentral. Lineage: Bacteria; Bacillati; Chloroflexota; Anaerolineae; Anaerolineales; Anaerolineaceae.
UGCAGUCGAACGAGGUGCUUUUGUAGCAAUACGAGAGUAUCCUAGUGGCGAACGGGUGAGUAACGCGUUGGUGACCUACCCCAAAGUGUGGAAUAACAGUCCGAAAGGAUUGCUAAUACCGCAUGUGGUUAUCGGGCUUAGAAACUGAUAACUAGAGGAGCAAUUCGCUUUGGGAGGGACCUGCGUCCCAUCAGCUAGUUGGUGAGGUAACGGCUCACCAAGGCUACGACGGGUAGGGGACCUGAGAGGGUGACCCCCCACAAUGGAACUGAAACACGGUCCAUACACCUACGGGUGGCAGCAGUAGGGAAUAUUGCACAAUGGGCGAAAGCCUGAUGCAGCAACGCCGCGUGUGCGAUGAAGGCCUUCGGGUCGUAAAGCACUUUUCUGAGAGAUGAGAAAGGACAGUAUCUCAGGAAUAAGUCUCGGCUAACUACGUGCCAGCAGCCGCGGUAAAACGUAGGAGGCGAGCGUUAUCCGGAUUCACUGGGCGUAAAGCGCGUGCAGGUGGUUCGGUAAGUUAGGCGUGAAAUCUCCCGGCUCAACUGGGAGAGGUCGUCUAAUACUACCGAACUUGAGAGCAGAAGAGGAAGAUGGAAUUCCCGGUGUAGUGGUGAAAUGCGUAGAUAUCGGGAGGAACACCAGUGGCGAAGGCGAUCUUCUGGUCUGUUUCUGACACUCAGACGCGACAGCUAGGGUAGUAAACGGGAUUAGAGACCCCGGUAAUCCUAGCCGUAAACGAUGUGAACUUGGCGUUGGUGGGUUAAACUCCAUCAGUGCCGAAGCAAACGCGAUAAGUUCACCGCCUGGGGACUACGGCCGCAAGGUUAAAACUCA